This 440-nucleotide ribosomal RNA is filed under the name uncultured bacterium. Its description in RNAcentral is "partial 16S ribosomal RNA". It matches the Rfam family "Bacterial small subunit ribosomal RNA", at positions 338 to 795 of the family's 1533-position model. The record is from RNAcentral.
CCUACGGGUGGCAGCAGUGGGGAAUAUUGCACAAUGGGGGGAACCCUGAUGCAGCGACGCCGCGUGAGUGAAGAAGUAUUUCGGUAUGUAAAGCUCUAUCAGCAGGGAAGAAAAUGACGGUACCUGACUAAGAAGCCCCGGCUAACUACGUGCCAGCAGCCGCGGUAAUACGUAGGGGGCAAGCGUUAUCCGGAUUUACUGGGUGGAGAGGGAGCGCAGACGGCUGUGCAAGUCUGGAGUGAAAGGCGGCGGCCCAACCCCCGGACUGCUCUGGAAACUGUAAAGCUGGAGUGCAGGAGAGGUAAGCGGAAUUCCUAGUGUAGCGGUGAAAUGCGUAGAGAUUAGGAGGAACACCAGUGGCGAAGGCGGCUUACUGGACUGCAACUGACGUUGAGGCUCGAAAGCGUGGGGAGCAAACAGGAUUAGAUACCCUGGUAGUC